AAUCAAGCGCGAAAAGGGCGUUUGGUGAAUGCCUUGGCAGUAAGAGGCGAUGAAAGACGUGAUACUCUGCGAUAAGUCAUGGGGAGCUGAGAAUAAGCUUUGAUCCAUGAAUUUCUGAAUGGGGCAACCCACCUGAUACUUUGUUAUUACUGCACUUCGGUGCAGCUAAUAAUGAGGUAAACCAGGUAUUUCUAGACUGAAUACAUAGGUUUAGAAAAGCAAACCCGGGGAACUGAAACAUCUAAGUACCCGGAGGAAAGGAAAUCAAUUGAUACUCCCCUAGUAGCGGCGAGCGAACGGGGACCAGCCGAGCCUUGAAUGUGAAUAGAAUGGUCUGGAAAGGCCAACCAUAGUGGGUGACAGUCCCGUAUAUGAAGCACGAUAGGACGUAUUAAGUAGGGCGGAACACGUGAAAUUCUGUCUGAAGAUCGGAGGACCACCUUCGAAGGCUAAGUACUCCUUACUGACCGAUAGUGAACCAGUACCGUGAGGGAAAGGUGAAAAGCACCCCGACGAGGGGAGUGAAACAGUACCUGAAACCGAACGCCUACAAUCAGUUGGAGGGCCCUUGAGGCCUGACAGCGUACCUUUUGUAUAAUGGGUCAUCGACUUGGUCUCACGAGCAAGCUUAAGCCGUUAGGUGUAGGCGCAGCGAAAGCGAGUCUUAAUAGGGCGUCGAGUUCGUGGGAUCAGACCCGAAACCGAGUGAUCUAGGCAUGACCAGGAUGAAGGUAAGGUAACACUUACUGGAGGUCCGAACCCACACCUGUUGAAAAAGGUCGGGAUGAGUUGUGCCUAGGGGUGAAAGGCCAAUCAAACUCGGAGAUAGCUGGUUCUCUGCGAAAUCUAUUUAGGUAGAGCGUCAUCCGAAUACCCUCGGGGGUAGAGCACUGGAUGGGUAAUGGGGCCCCACAGGCUUACUGAUCCUAACCAAACUCCGAAUACCGAGGAGUACUAGAUGGCAGACACACGGCGAAUGCUAACGUCCGUCGUGAAGAGGGAAACAACCCUGACCUACAGCUAAGGCCCCUAAUUCAUGGCUAAGUGGGAAAGCAGGUGGGACGACCAAAACAACCAGGAAGUUGGCUUAGAAGCAGCCAUCUUUUAAAGAUAGCGUAACAGCUCACUGGUCUAAUCAAGUUGUCCUGCGGCGAAGAUGUAACGGGGCUCAAGCCAUGAGCCGAAGCUUAGGAUGCACUUAGUGCAUGGUAGCAGAGCGUAGUGUGACAUAACUCCAUGUCUCCUUAAGCCCUUCGGGGCGAUUGGAGACGCGGAGUUUUCUGUGAAGCCGGCGCGUGAGCGAUCCGGUGGAGAGAUCACUAGUGAGAAUGAUGACAUGAGUAGCGACAAAGGGAGUGAGAGACUCCCUCGCCGAAAGUCCAAGGGUUCCUGCUUAAAGCUAAUCUGAGCAGGGUAAGCCGACCCCUAAGGCGAGGCCGAAAGGCGUAGUCGAUGGGAACCAGGUUAAUAUUCCUGGGCCAGAUGGAAGUGACGGAUCUCGAAGGUAGUUCAUCCUUAUCGGAUUGAAUGGGCUGCUGAGAGGUUCCUGGAAAUAGCUCCAUCGCUAGAUCGUACCCUAAACCGACACAGGUGGACUGGUAGAGAAUACCAAGGCGCUUGAGAGAACUAUGUUGAAGGAACUCGGCAAAAUACCUCCGUAAGUUCGCGAGAAGGAGGCCCGGUUCCUAGGCAACUAGGGGCUGGGGGCACAAACCAGGGGGUGGCGACUGUUUAUUAAAAACACAGGGCUCUGCGAAGUCGUAAGACGACGUAUAGGGUCUGACGCCUGCCCGGUGCCUGAAGGUUAAAAGGAGGGGUGAGAGCUCUGAAUUGAAGCCCAGGUAAACGGCGGCCGUAACUAUAACGGUCCUAAGGUAGCGAAAUUCCUUGUCGGGUAAGUUCCGACCUGCACGAAUGGCGUAACGA
Molecule: ribosomal RNA, 1926 nt
Filed under: Pseudosulfitobacter pseudonitzschiae
Lineage: Bacteria; Pseudomonadati; Pseudomonadota; Alphaproteobacteria; Rhodobacterales; Roseobacteraceae
Description: partial 23S ribosomal RNA
Rfam family: Bacterial large subunit ribosomal RNA
Source: RNAcentral